This 408-nucleotide ribosomal RNA is filed under the name uncultured bacterium. Its description in RNAcentral is "partial 16S ribosomal RNA". It matches the Rfam family "Bacterial small subunit ribosomal RNA", at positions 28 to 526 of the family's 1533-position model. The record is from RNAcentral.
GACGAACGCUGGCGGCGUGCUUAACACAUGCAAGUCGAACGAAGUGGCGAACGGGUGAGUAAUACGUGGGUAACCUGCCCUCCUUUUUGGGAUAAGCCUUGGAAACGGGGUCUAUUACCGAACAAAGGGGGAUGGGCUCGCGGCCUAUCAGCUUGUUGGUGGGGUGUUGGCCUACCAAGGCGGUGACGGGUAGCCGGGCUGAGAGGGUGACCGGCGACAUUGAGACUGAGAUACGGCCCAGACUCCUACGGGGUGGAGCAGUGGGGGAUAUGGCAGAAAGGGCGAAAGAGUGAUGCAGCGAGGGCGCGUGGGGGAUGAAGGCUGUCGGGUUGUAAAGCUCUUUCGCAAUCGAAAGGGUAGGUGGAGAAGAAGCGCCGGCUAACUACGUGCCAGCCGCCGCGGUAAUUC